Molecule: unclassified non-coding RNA, 314 nt
Filed under: plant metagenome
Description: partial contains 5.8S ribosomal RNA, internal transcribed spacer 2, and large subunit ribosomal RNA
Rfam family: 5.8S ribosomal RNA (bases 1-105)
Source: RNAcentral
GAACUGCGAUAAGUAAUGUGAAUUGCAGAAUUCAGUGAAUCAUCGAGUCUUUGAACGCACAUUGCGCCCCCUGGCAUUCCGGGGGGCAUGCCUGUCCGAGCGUCAUUGCUGCCCUUCAAGCCCGGCUUGUGUGUUGGGUCGUCGUCCCUCCGGGGGACGGGCCCGAAAGGCAGCGGCGGCACCGCGUCCGGUCCUCGAGCGUAUGGGGCUUUGUCACCCGCUCGAUAAGGACCGGCCGGGCGCCAGCCGGCGUCUCCAACCUUUUUUUCUCAGGUUGACCUCGGAUCAGGUAGGGAUACCCGCUGAACUUAAGC